This 462-nucleotide ribosomal RNA is filed under the name uncultured bacterium. RNAcentral's name for it is "partial 16S ribosomal RNA". It matches the Rfam family "Bacterial small subunit ribosomal RNA", at positions 28 to 507 of the family's 1533-position model. The record is from RNAcentral.
GACGAACGCUGGCGGCGUGCUUAACACAUGCAAGUCGAACGGAAAGGCCCUUCGGGGUUCUCGUGCGGCGAACGGGAGCGUAACACGAGGAUGAUCUGCACCGCACUUUGGGAUAAGCAUGGGUUACUGGGUCUAAUACUGAUACGGACCACGCGCUUCUGGUUGUGUGGGGGGAUGGUUUGGCGGUGUGGGAUGGGCACGCGGCCUAUCAGCUUGUUGGUGGGGUAGUGGCCUACCAAGGCUACGACGGGUAGCCGGCCUGAGAGGGUGACCGGCCACACUGGGACUGAGAUACGGCCCAGACUCCUACGGGAGGCAGCAGUGGGGAAUAUUGCACAAUGGGCGCAAGCCUGAUGCAGCAACGCCGCGUGAGGGAUGACGGCCUUCGGGUUGUAAACCUCUUUCGAUUGUGACGAAGCGCGAGUGACGGUACCGAUAGAAGAAGCACCGGCCAACUACGUG